This 223-nucleotide ribosomal RNA is filed under the name uncultured bacterium. Its description in RNAcentral is "partial 16S ribosomal RNA". It matches the Rfam family "Bacterial small subunit ribosomal RNA", at positions 328 to 539 of the family's 1533-position model. The record is from RNAcentral.
ACGCUCGACACCUACGGAGGCAGCAGUAGGGAAUCUUCCGCAAUGGACGAAAGUCUGACGGAGCAACGCCGCGUGAACGAUGAAGGUUUUCGGAUCGUAAAGUUCUGUUGUUAGGGAAGAACAAACUUCGUUUGAAUAAGGCGGAGUCAUGACGGUACCUAACGAGAAAGCCACGGCUAACUACGUGCCAGCAGACGCGGUAAUCUGAGCGGGCUGGCAAGGC